This 708-nucleotide long non-coding RNA is filed under the name Danio rerio (zebrafish). Its description in RNAcentral is "lncRNA si:ch211-163m17.5 (ENSDARG00000105465.3)". The record is from RNAcentral. Lineage: Eukaryota; Metazoa; Chordata; Actinopteri; Cypriniformes; Danionidae.
AUCCACCUGGAACAAAAUCAGGUAUUUGUGAGUCGUUAACGUAAAACGUGCAUGCAACUUUAUUUUUAGCAUUUCCUAAAUACCAGCGUUAAACUGCGGUGAUCAUGUAACAGAGGAAAAGUGGCGAUUAGAAUAUGCUCUGUAGUUCAAUGUGUGUGACGCUGUGGUGACUGUGGUCUAUGUAGUUAUGUCUUAAUCCAAUAUUUUAGACAAUUUCCAGUUUAAGGUCAAACCGGAGAAUGGAGUUUAUAGUUCCUGUAUACUUGAUGCAUUAGUUCCAGAUAUUAAUGACAUCAAAUGCAAAGGAGAUCAGCAUUUAUUAAGCAAGAGGGUAAACAGUGGAAUGAUUUAAGUAAAAUCCCACUUCUAAGAGCAGCUGCUUGAUGAACUUCUGCUGCAGCUGUGUAUCCAGUUGCUCUGAAAAAUGAAGGAUGAAAUCCGUCAGUGACUUUGUCUGGCAGAGAUUGCUUUGCAACAUGUAUGCAAGAUGCCUGUGGGCCUACAAGAAGCAAGAAUGUCCAUGACCAACGGUGAUGGCAGUGAUGCUGUUCUCUGUCUCUGGGAGAUGGCUUCAAAUGGAUCUUUUGACUGUAGCGGGAUCGGAAGGGAAGUUGUUAAAGGCGGCUGAAUCUUUUGCACUUGUGCUUAUGGACAAGAAUGAACAUUUAAAUGAAUGUUUGAUGUGAUUUCAAUAAAAUAAAUUGAUCU